RNAcentral lists this ribosomal RNA (250 nucleotides) under uncultured prokaryote. Its description in RNAcentral is "partial 16S ribosomal RNA". It matches the Rfam family "Bacterial small subunit ribosomal RNA", at positions 524 to 772 of the family's 1533-position model. The record is from RNAcentral.
UACAUAGGUAGCGAGCGUUAUCCGGAAUAACUGGGUGUAAAGGGAGUGUAGGUGGAAUAUCAAGUCUGAUGUGAAAGCCCGGGGCUUAACCCUGUGGAUUGCACCAGAAACUGAUAGUCUAGAGUACGAGAGAGGCAAGUGGAAUUCCUAGUGUAGCGGUAAAAUGCGUAGAGAUUAGGAGGAACACCGGAGGCGAAGGCGACUUGCUGGCUCGCAACUGACACUGAGACUCGAAAGUGUGGGGAGCAAA